GCCAAGUUAGCUUAGUUGGUAGUGCGUCUGCCUUGUAAGCGCUAGGCCGCGGGUUCGAUUCCCGCCCGGGGUG
RNAcentral lists this transfer RNA (73 nucleotides) under Diaphorina citri (Asian citrus psyllid). It matches the Rfam family "tRNA". From Rfam's summary of the family: Transfer RNA (tRNA) molecules are approximately 80 nucleotides in length. Their secondary structure includes four short double-helical elements and three loops (D, anti-codon, and T loops). The record is from Rfam by way of RNAcentral. Lineage: Eukaryota; Metazoa; Arthropoda; Insecta; Hemiptera; Psyllidae.